ACUCUGACAAAGGUAGAGGGAUCCCCAUGAUGUCACUUCAUGACUCUUGGACCCCACAGCAGCUAAAAGGUGGCUCAUCGACAGAAAGGAUUCAAACAUCUUUCUGCAUAUUGUGGACUUGUCUGAUCCCAAGAAAAUUUGGAAAUUUGUUGAAAAUUUCAAACAGAAACAUAAACUCAAUUUUCUGGACACAUGCUCGUGAGGACACUCGCUCUGUGUGGAUGCAUAGACUGGGACACCUGAAUGCUCACCCUGGAAGUCAAGAGUUCCUGGAAGCCACUCCAAAUCCUGCCCCUCUGUCCUCAGGAGCACCUCCACCUCCCCUCUUCCUGCCUG
Molecule: non-coding RNA, 336 nt
Organism: Miniopterus natalensis
Lineage: Eukaryota; Metazoa; Chordata; Mammalia; Chiroptera; Miniopteridae
Source: RefSeq, a predicted model, not a curated record